CGGUAAAUAAUUUUUGUAGUGUAAAAGCUAAAUAAAUUUAUACAUACUUUAAUAUAGAUAACCAAAGUAUAAAAUUUAAUUUACAGUGAGACGUGGGCCCACGAACGACCAAAAGUAUUAAAAGCAGUAAACCUACAGUUAUUGAGGAUGCAAGUCCAACUGUAGCCCUCAACAAAGUGAGCUAUCUACUGACUAUCCUAAGCUUGAAAGGGGUGGAAAGGAGGCUGGUGAGAUUAUAUAAUCCCAAUGACUAAACAAAUACCAUCUAAAAUAUCUAAAGCUGAG
RNAcentral lists this long non-coding RNA (285 nucleotides) under Theobroma cacao (cacao). RNAcentral's name for it is "long non-coding RNA (TCAC_LNC003063)". The record is from RNAcentral. Lineage: Eukaryota; Viridiplantae; Streptophyta; Magnoliopsida; Malvales; Malvaceae.